UGCGGGAGACGAAGAUGGAGAAACCGCGGAAGAAGAUUUUGGUGCCAUUGAUCCUGACGGUGAAGAACCCGGUGCAUACGACGGAGGAGCUGGCGGAGAAGUCACCGGAGAAGAGGACGGAGAAACAUGGGAAUAUGAUUUAGGCGACAUUGAUCCCGGCGGAGAAGCCAUCGGGGUUGAGGACGGAGAAACAGGGGAAGAUGAUUUAGGUGACAUUGAUCCCGGCGGUGAAGAUCCCGGAGCAGAAGACGGAGAAGAUGAUUUAGGUGGCGCUGGCGGAGAAGUCACCGGAGCAGAUGACGGAGAAACAGGGGAAUAUGAUUUAGGUGACAUUGAUCCCGGCGGAGAAGUCAUCGGAGCAGAGGACGGAGAACCAGGGGAAGAGGAUUUAGGUGGCAUAGGUGCGGGUGGAGAAGUCGCCGGAGACAUAUGAGAGGAAGAUUUAGGUGCCAUUGAACCAGGUGGAGAAGUUGCCGGAGAUUUAGCGGAGGAUGAUUUAGGUGGCAUUGAACCCGGCGGAGAAUUCACCGGAGCAGACGACGGUGAAACAGGGGAAGAAGAUUUAGGUGGCAUUGAUCCCGGCGGAGAAGUCACCGGAGCAGAAGACGGAGAAACAGAGGAAGAAGAUUUAGGUGGCAUAAGUGCCGGUGGAGAAGUCGCCGGAGAAACAGGGGAUGAAGAUGAUUUAGGUGCCAUUGAACCCGUUGGAGAAGUCACCGGAGAAGAAGACGGAGAAACAGGGGAAGUCGAUUUAGGUGGCAUAUGUGCCGGUGGAGAAGUCGCCGGAGAAACAUGGGAAGAAGACUUAGGUGGCAUUGAUCCCGGUGGAGAAGUCACCGGAGCAGAAGACGGAGAAACAGGGGAAGUCGAUUUAGGUGGCAUAUGUGCGGGUGGAGAAGUGGCCGGAGAAACAUGGGAAGAAGACUUAGGUGGCAUUGAUCCCGGUGGAGAAGUCACCGGAGCAGAAGACGGAGUAACAGGGGAAGAGGAUUUAGGUGGUGUGUGUGCGGGUGGAGAAGUGGCCGGAGAAACAUGGGAAGAAGACGUAGGUGGCAUUGAUCCCGGAGGAGAAUUUCCCGGAGCUGCGGCUUGAGGAGGAGAGGGAGUUCUAACAGACAAGACAACGACAGUAAGCUUUUGUCCCUUCUUACAGUUAUCUUCAUUGCCACUGAUGAAGUAAAACGGACCAGAACGUUCAAGCGAGAUCUCUGAAGCUCCGUCGUCAACUUUCUUGAUCGGAUUCUUGGUAUUACACCCGUCGUAAUCAGCCUUGUUCACCUCUAGCACCGAGUCCAUUCCCUUAGCAUAGCUGAAAUCUGCAAGAACCCAAACCGAGUCUCAGACAAAACAAAACAAAAAACACUAAAAAGUAAUCACAUGACUAAUAAGAAAAGAUAGGCUAUUUGUACAUACAUAGUGUGUCGUGUACUAGGAACCGGCUCUUUCCAGCCCAAGAUCCGUAAUUUUCCGGCGGAUUUGGAACCCACGCGCCGCUCCCUCCGACUUCAAACCUCCUUGCAUCGGUAAAGAACGUAGAGAAAGAGAGGAGUACCGUGAAGAGGAAGAAACAAAGGCUAUUGGUUCUUAGAAACGCCAUGGCUUCUAAAAGCUGGGAGAUUAUGAGAUAAAUGGGUUUGUGUGACUAUGAUGAAUAUAUAGCAAUGAAAGGUUGUUAAAGAUGAAAUAAGAAAAAUGGGAAUAGGGCUAAAGGAAAGUGAACGUUUUGUCUUUAUGAUAAGGAGAAGAUGUCGACUACUACGUGUUUAAAAUUGAAUGUCGUAUCAAUUUGCUUCUUCAUUAAUACAAAAGAGUUUUCUCUCUGUAUCUACCGACGUUUUGAAAUUUUAUUAUAUCAUCGAAAAAUAGAAAAGUGGUACGAGUAUAGUGCGCGUUAAAGAGCGCUAUAGAACUGUGGCGAGAAUCGGAUUCAACACUAAAUCUCAGUAACUUAAUACUAGUAUAAGAAUACUAAAAAGUCUUAAAUCUGCAUCUGGUUCCAUUUUUUUUUUGGGUUGACGAGACAUGAUUAGUGUUGAUCUCAAAGAUGACAAAAAUGGCGGCUAUGUUUUUUAGCAAAGAGAGGAACCAUAAACAUGAACAUACACAUAUCUACUUCUUUACACGGUAAUUACAACAGUAGUGCUCCAUCUGUUGCUGAUAUAGUUACCAUCACUAGUUCUCGUUGCUUCUUGUACAAUGCAAGAGACACCAUUGGAAUCCUUAGGAAUAUUAUAGUAUUUUUUUUUUAAAUAGUUAAAAAUUCUAAUCAAAUUAGUAUGUCUAAUGGUGUUAUCCAAUUUGAAAUAUUUAAAAAAAAAAAUUAAUAAAUUUUAAAACUUGUGAAAUUAAAAUAAAUAUUUUUGCAUGAUUAACUAUUAUUAAGAAAAAAAAAUUAAAACAUGUCAAAUUUAAAUAUUUAUUUUUGCAUGAUUAACUUUCAUUAAGAAAAGAAAACAUGUAAAAAUAAGAUAUUUAUUUUUGCAUGAGUAACUAUCAUUAAGAAGUAAAAUAAGAUAUCCCAACCCUAAAUUGCGAGGAAAACAACAUGAAACCUAGCGUAAAUCCAUAAAUCAACAAGAGGACCCUUCGAUUUACCUUCGAUUGCGUUGAGAACCCUUCGAUUAUCCUCUUUACCAUCGAGAACCCUUCGAUUAAUGUUCUUCACUUUCGAGAGCAAAAUCGCCUUAUCGCCUCCUCUGAAUUUUUUGUUCUACAUAAUUUGUUUACUAAUGUCCCAUUUUUAAAAAUAUUUUAGGUCAAAAAAUUACUUAUCACAUAAAAACCUAACGUUUAGGCCGAAAAAUCUUAUGCCUACUAUUUGGUUACAAUGAAACUAUGUCAGCUCGGUUUUAUAUCAUGAUUUAGCAAUUUAAAAGUUAAUUAUGGUUAUAAGAAGUUUACGUUCACGUGUCAAUCCUAUCUAUCAUCGAUAUUUUUAUAAUUUUUGUAUCAUUUUGGUUAUUUGCUUGAUAUAAAUAUUAAUUUUUUGAGUUUAUUCUCAUUUCUUUCUUUUAUUUUGGCCUGAAAUUUAGAAAAUAUUUAAGAUUCAAAAUUAUUAAAGAGAUACAUACUUAGGUUAAGAUUUGUGUCUUGUGCAGAAUAAAUAUUUUAUAUUUAUUACUUAUUUUAUAUUUUUGUGCAUAUUAUGAAAUAAUAAAAUAAUAAUUAUAUAUUAAAUGACUAAGAAAUCAGUUACUAUUAUGUAAUAAAUUAGCUUGCAAUCAAAUGACCGCUCUUGUAUAUUCGCAGUCAUUUUAGAAUAAAUAAAUCAAAACAAUCAAUCUUAUCUAUCGUAUAUGAUAUAUAAUUAAAUUUAAAGGAUAUGAAAUAUAUAUAUAUAUAUAUAUGUAUUAACAUAAACACCUAUUAAAAUAAAAUUAUUUGUUUAUAUGAUUUUAUUAUCAUUGUAUCUUAUUAUAAAAAAAAUUUAAACAUUGAUCACAAAAGUUUAUGUGAGACUUUUAAUAGUUUUAGUAAUUUAUACUCAUUUUGAAAAAAUCAAAAUACAACAUAUACAAAAAAAUCUAAAUUUUUAAUAUAUGAUUAAUGUAACUGUGUAAUUUAUUUUAAUAAUAAAGAAUUAAACAAAAAUUAUAGAAAAUAUACAAAUUAUUAGCAAAUCUUCAUUAUUUAAAAUCAUUAAUUAUUAUAUAUAUCAUAAUCACAUUAGGUACUUCCGUAAGUUUUAUUUAAAGAAAUAAUAUAUAAUAAAUUUCAAUUUGAUAAAUAAAUGGUCCAUAAUGGACAUACUCUAUAAUAUAACAUUCUCUAGCAAUUUAAUUUUAGACUAAAAAAAUUAUCAAUUGAUUUUCAAGCCGCCACGUAAACAAAUUAUCAUUCCAGUUACGUGACAAUUCAGUAUGACACUUUUUUAAUUAGUACAAACUACAGGUUCUAAACUUUUUAAAUGUUUAUCUAUUAAUAUAUAGGAGAUGUUAAACCAUUGAUCAUUAAUUUUUAACAUAAUAAUUUUAAUAGUAUUAGUAAUUUUGUCGUUUCUAAAAAUUCAAAAUAUAACAUAUACGAAAAAAUCUAUAUUUUAAUUUCAUAGCUAAUUUGAUUGUUUAAUUUAUUUUAAUAAUAUAAAAUUAAACAAAAACAAUGGAUGGGAUAUAAAUUGUUAUCAAAUCUUUAUUAUUAGAAUCAUUAAUUGUCAUAUAUACAUUAGUCAUAUUUGGUAAUUCCGUAGCUUUUAUUUAAGGAAAGAAAAGAAAAUAGUAAUUAUACACUUUAAUUAAUUUUAUGAUUAGUUUAAUGAAAAUAUAAUAUAUACUUAAUUGGAACAACAUAUUUUCUAAAGAUUCUGAAUUUCAUUCGGGUGAUGACACGUGGCUACACUUAAAGGUUGUAAUGUUUCUCAAUUAAUAUAUAAGAAUUCCUCUAAAAUUAUCACAUCAAUCUAUUAUUUCUUAAUGACUGAAAACAUGGAUACAAAACAAAUUAUAUAGAAAAUUGGACAUAUGCCUAAGUAAUAAAGUGUCAUUAAAAUAAAUAAAUAAAUAAAGUGUCAUUUUUCACAUUCAAAGCUUCUCCAAAAAUAAAUACACAUUGUAUAAAGCCGUAUUAAUGGAUACACUAUUAAUUAACUAGUGGUUUUGAAAUGAUUUAUUAUUGGGUUCACCAAAAGAUAAAAUUGCGUUAUUUCAUAUUCGAUAUCUUUUAAAAAAAGAAAUAAAAUAUUAUCAAAUUAUAUUAUGUUUUUAAAAUUAAAAAGUAAAAAGAAAUAAAUUAAAAAAUUGUAAUAAUUACAAAAAAAAAUAUUUUUAACGUUGUCAGCAAAACACUAAACACCCUAAACCAUUGGGUAAACUCUAAACCCUUGAAUAAAUCAUAAAUUCUAAAUCAAAAUCAGCAAACACUAAAACAUUCAAGGGUUUAGAGUUUAGGAUUUAGGGUUUAAAGUUUAGGGUUUUAGUAUUUAAUGUUUUUUAUUUAGAGUUUAUGAUUUAUCUAAGAGUUUAGGGUUUACCCAAGGGUUUAGGGUUUAGGGUUUAGGGUUUAGAGUUUAGGGUUUAGGAUUUAGGGUUUAUCCAAGAGUUUAUGGAUUAGGAUUUAGGGUUUAGUGUUUUGCCGACGACAUUAAAAAAAUUUAUUUUUUUAAUUAUUUUUCUGUAACUACUAUUUUUUUUACUUUUUUUUAUUUUAAAAACAUAAUAUAAGUUGACAAUAUUUUGUUUUUAAAAAAAAAAAAAAUUUGAAUUUAAAAUAAUGAAAUCCUAUUGGUUGGUGAACCUAAAGAUUCUAUCUUGGCGUAAACCCAAGAAUAACAGCUUUUAAAUAUGUUCAUAGACAAAUAUAUAAUAUAAACAUGUCUAAAAAUAAGAAUACCAAAUUAAUGAUUAAUAAAAUAUCAGAUUUUCUUACUUUGUGUUAAAGAUUUACAAUAAAUGAAUCCAAAAGGUAAUACAAUCUACAUAAAAUUUAACAGAAAAAGUCUACCUAAAAUACAUUAGCAUCUCAAAUACGUUUUAAAUGUCCAAAUCUCUGUACUUGUCCACGUAUUUAAGUUGGAGAUUAUAUACUCAAUUUGUGUAACAUAUUAGUGUAAUUCAUUACAUUAACAGUAUCUUGUACAUAUAAUUUCGAUUUCUUUUCUUUUGCGGAAAACAAUUUACCUAUAGUUGAUUUUAAAAGUUCAUUUCCAAAAUGAUACGUGUCACAUAACUACAUAAUAUAGAGAUAAUAGCUAGAAAACGUGUUACAACAAAAAAGUAACUUUUAAUUCCUUUUACUAUUUUCCCUCAUCAUGCCAGCAUUAUAUAGGUUCUUAUAAAUAAGAAGAAAAGACGAGACCAUCUUUUCAUAACUUUUAAAUUCUUCAGAACGAAAAUUGAUUGAGAGAAAGAAAAAUGGUGAGACCACGACUGCUUGUAGUGUCGAUGUCGCUUCCGGUUACUGCAAAGAGGACCGGAGAAGAAACUUGGUCUUUCACCAUGAGUCCUGGUGGUCUAGUUAGUGCUCUUCUAGGUAAGAAGAUAGUCUACAACUUUAACAAUGUAGCAAUGAAUGAAUUAAAUAAGCACAAUAAACCGAUUUUUAUAUAUAUUACAUUAAUUUGUGGUGAUAUAUCUCUUAAAGGUUUGAAAGAGUUUGAGACCAAAUGGAUUGGCUGGCCUGGAGUCGAUGUUCAUGAUGCGGUUGGAAAAAAGGCACUCUCCAUUGCUCUAGCCGAAAAGGUAAACGUAUAGAUUUUGAACUCUCAUAUAUAUUAUUGUAAAAUGAAAAAAGGCAAAAAAUAAUCAAGACCUUAUUCAUGUCUUAUUUUGUUUAUUAAAGCCUUAUACAUGUCUUAGUUGAUUUUUAAAACGCUUGACUUUGAUUUGUAGGGGUGUAUCCCGGUGUUUCUGGAGGAAGUUUGUGAUCAAUACUAUAAUGGCUAUUGCAACAAUAUUCUGUGGCCGAUUUUUCACUACUUGGGAACCCCACCAGAAUAUCGUAACGAUGUAAUCAUAACAUACCAGUCACAGUAUGAUGCAUACAAGAAAGCAAAUCGUAUUUUCUUUGAUGUGGUAAACGAGCAUUAUCAAGAAGGAGAUGUGGUUUGGUGCCAUGAUUACCAUGUUAUGCUUCUUCCUCAAUAUCUAAAAGAAUACAACAGUAAGAUGAAAGUUGGAUGGUUUCUCCAUACGCCAUUCCCUUCCUCCGAGAUGUACAAAACCUUGCCCUCAAGAUCAGAACUGCUUCGUUCUGUUCUUACUGCUGAUUUAGUCGGGUAAAUGUUUUUUACCUUUUUAACAGUGUAGUAACUAUUUUGAAUUUGAAAGUAAACUUACCUCUUACUCUUUUUUAUUUCUCUGCCUUUUUUGUUUCUAGUUUCCAUACGUAUGAUUUUGCAAGACAUUUCGUGAAUGCAUGCAUGUGUAUUCUUGGAACCGAAGCAACAUCUGAAGGAGUUGUGGAUCAGGGCAAACUCACUCGUGUAGCUGUUGUAAGGAUCCAUCUUGAAAAUCUCUUAAGAUUGAUGAUUUAGUCAUCUCCUAAUGAAAUGUUAAUUUUGGUUUGCUUUCUUUUUUUCUAUUUGGAUAUAUUAGUUUCCCAUUGGGAUAGAACCUGAGAGGUUCAUAAACACAAGUAAACUCUCUGAGGUCACAGAAUACAUGAAGAAGUUUAAAUCAGAUUUUGGGGGCAGAAAGGUAGAUUUAUACUUUUAUAUAUGAUGCUUGAAACAUAAAAGGGAAAAUGAUUUGACAUAUAUAAUUAUGUUUGUUGACAGUUGAUACUAGGUGUUGAUCGUCUCGACACGAUCAAAGGGAUACCACAUAAGUAUCAGGCAUUUGAGAAGUUUCUUGAGGAAAAUGAAGAUUGGCGUGGUAAAGUUUUGUUACUUCAGAUUGCAGUGCCAACAAGGAAUGGUAUUGGUGAAUGUAAGUUUUUUAUAUCUCUUUUAUUUCUUUAGCUGAUAUGCAUCGAUCAAUUCAUAGGAUUGUGUUUAUGUUCUAUAACAGAUCAAAAGAUCAAAGACCAAUGUCAUGGACUUGUUGGACGUAUUAAUGGUCGUUUUGGUUCUAUCUCUUCCGUUCCAAUAAUCCACCUGGUUUGUUAUUUUCUCUCUUUUAUCCUCAUCACAAGUCAUAUCUUAUAGUUUCUGAUACAUAUUUCAUCUUUCUGUGUUAGGAUUGUUCUAUUCACUUUCAUCAACUGUGCGCACUUUACGCCAUCACAGGUAAUUCUCAUAUUACAUUUGAUGAUUUAGUCACAUAUAUUAUAAAACGGUUAUAUAAUGUUAAAGAUUAGUGUCGAUGUAUAUUCCUAACAAAUGAGUUUAUUUUCAUCUUUGUUUCUUCAGAUGUAUUACUUGUAACAUCUUUGAGAGAUGGAAUGAACCUUGUGAGUUCUGAGUUUGUUGCCUGCCAAAAAGGGGAAAAAGGAGUUCUCGUUCUAAGCGAGGUAACCUAACUUUGAUAGGUCUGAUGUUAAGUAUAUGAAUUGUAUUUUCUUUCUCUGGUCUGAAAUAUAUUUAUGAAUCUAAUAACCAACAGUUAUCAUUCAAAAGUAAUAUAUUUUUGUAUUGAGUUUCACAGUUUGCAGGUGCUGGUCAGUCACUUGGUGCUGGAGCUCUUCUUGUGAAUCCUUGGAACGUUAAAGAAGUUUCUAAUGCCAUUGGAGAAGCUCUAAGCAUGUCACGUGAAGAAAAGGAGAAAAAACAUCAAAUCAAUUUUCAGUAUGUGAAAACACACUCUACUCAACAGUGGGCAGAUGAUUUCAUGAAGUAUGUGACAAAUCACAACAUUCAUUCUCUUUAAAUCUCAUCUCAACUAUUGUUCUUAUAGACAAGUCUUACAAUUUUUUUUUUAUUUGGUUAGUAAACUAAAUGAGGUUACAAGUAAAGCGGAGCAAGAAACUGGAAAAGCCCCACAUGAACUUCCACAACAUGAUGUGGUUCAACAAUAUUCAAAGUCUAAGAAUAGGCUGCUAAUUCUUGUAAGUGUUAUAUGUAUCAAGAUGGUCUUGUACAUUGCAUAUUAUUUUGGUCACUUAUCUUUAUAACUGUAUAAAAUGUUCAGGGCUUUUAUGGAACACUCACUAAGCCAAACAAAAACCAAGAGAGAAGAGACGAAGGAAUGAAUCUUGAACUUCACCCACAGCUAAAAGAAAGACUAAAAGCAUUAUGCAGUGAUCCAAAAACAACAGUAGUUGUCCUGAGUAGAAGUGAAAAAAGCGUAUUGGAUCAAGUAAAUGUUUUCUCUCGUCUUUAUUAAAUUUACUUACUUGCUUUCUCAUUGUGGACUUACUUAGUAUCUUGAAAACAGAACUUUGGAGAGCAUGAUAUGUGGUUAGCCGCGGAAAAUGGAAUGUUUCUAAGGCAUACAGCUGGGGAGUGGGUGACGAAAAUGCCAGAAAACAUGAACUUGAAAUGGAUUGAUGGUGUCAAGGUUAGUAAAUAAAAUAUAUUUUUAGAAUUAAAGUUUGAUACCCUCAUCCAUGUUUUAAUUCUUUUGUGGUUGCUUUUGUCUACAGCAAGUAUUCAAGUACUUCACUGAAAGAACACCAGGAUCCUACUUCCAAGCAAGCGAGACUUCGGUUGUAUGGAAUUACCACUAUGCAGGUGAUUUACUUUAUACGUAUAUGUUUUUUUUUUUUAACUUCUACUAAGAAUAACUACUGAAGACAACUACUUGAUCUUUAUUUAUUUGUAGAUGCUGAAUUUGGGAGAGCUCAAGCAAAAGAUAUGUUGCAACACUUGUGGGCUGGACCAACCUCUAAUGCAUCAGUGGAUGUUGUCCAAGGACGCUACUCUGUUGAAGUCCAUUCGGUUGGUGUAACAAAGGUAACUAAUGCUAUUGUUUUCAUUUGUUUCUACAUCAUCAAUUACCAAAAUAUUCUAAUUAUUCUUUGAUCUAUCACAUGUUGUCUCUUCUCUGUUAUCUUAGGGAAGUGCAAUGGAGCGUAUCCUCGGAGAAAUAGUACUACAGAAUAAGUCGAUAACUACACCAAUUGAUUAUGUCUUAUGCAUUGGUAAUUUCUUGGGGAAGGUAAGCUUCUUAUGUAACCAAAUGUUGAUUAUACAAUUACAUAUCCAUGGAUUUUGAUACAAGGGUUGAUAUAUGUUACAGGAUGAAGAUGUUUACACCUUCUUCGAGCCCGAGUUAACCAAGAAAACCAUGUCUUCUCCUUAUUAUGGCAGUGGCCCCCUCAAGAAGGUGUCAUCGACCCUUGUUGACGUAAAGGGAGACAACUACUUCUCUGUGGCUGUUGGGAACACGCACACAAAGGCUAGCUAUUUCCUUGACUCAUCUGAUGAUGUUGUGCAGUUGAUCCACAAGCUUUGCACACACAAUAAUCCUUGACUCAUCAUCAUAUGGUGCCCUGAUGAUCCUCUUAGAAUUUUCUUUUGGCUAAAUGGCACUAUUAAAGACUUUUAUUUGCUAUUUUUUACCUUUGCAAAACUCAUUAUUGUUCUCUGCUUUUCAGUUUCUCACAUUGUCUCUUUGACUCUUACUAUUUAUCUCUUUGUCUUUUUUUUUUUUUAGUUUUAUAAUGAAAAGAAACUCUUUAAGAAAAUAUUUAAUGGAAUUGACAAUAAAACAGAGAUGAACAUAGGAAUUAUAACGUGGAGAACAUUUGCACACACAGACACAUGAUCUUGAUAUUUGGAAAUGAAAAAUCAAAGAAUCACAAGAGGCGCCUCAUCGGUUUUUGCAGGUGCGGUCUCUUGUGUUGGUGUCUCAGACUCAGAAGGAGCUUUCUCAUCUGCCUUGACAGCUUCUGGAGUUGGCUCGGCCUUGGUUGCCUCAGAGGAGUCCUCUUUUGUCUCACCUUCUUUCUUUGCUUCUUCACCAGACUCUUCCUUCUUCUCCUGUGAAUCAAACAUAUCAACAACAAUAGUUUCAUCUUAACAUGAGUUUGUUCAAACAAGACACAAGAAAUGAUCAUAUGUGAUUCAAAAAAACCUGAGUUAAUGUGGUAUCUGUCUCGGUCGUGACAUCCUUGGACUCAACAACAACAUUUUCGGUUGGUGCAGAGCCUUCAACGAUGUCAGAUUCCUUAGGUACGCUCGCACAACCUCCCAUUUUUUCUUUUUUUAUUGAAAGGAUUAGCUUGAAAAAAAUUACAAUGGGAAGAGCUGUGGAGCAAAACAAAAAUGAUAGAUAGAGGGGAGAGGCCUGUAAAGAGAUAUAUAGGAGAUUGUAUAUAGACAAAUGCUAUUUCAGGUAAUUUUCAGAUUCAUUGGUAAUGAGACCUUUGAAUUUCUGUCACGUUCCUAUUUAUCAGGAGGACAGCUUCAUGCCCCACCGUAACUCUCUGUCUGGUUUAGGGACACAAUAACAUUUCCUGGAUACAGAAAUACUACAACCGAACUGGAUAAAAAAGUAAUGAGGCACAUGACCAAAUCUUGUGUUAAAAAACACUUUCAUAUAUCAUAUUCUAGCCGCUGAAAUGGAUAGUGUCUCAUAUUUUGAAAGCUGGAAAAGAUGGCUUUCUGUUUUCUUUCAGGCCCAAAGAAUUAUCUAAUUCUUGGUUUGCGUGUCUACUAUGUCUCCUGAAAUGAUAUCAUAAUCUAAUAUAAUUUAGUAUAUGUUAUGUUUAGAUAGAUAAGACCAACUCCAUUGGUUAGACUCCUUAAUCGGUUCUUAAAAUUAAUUUAAUAGUUAAUUGUGUACUUUAUAAAGUUUAGAACUCCUAUUAAUAUAAUUAGUUGUGUGAAAGUCCAAUGGGAAAACCCUUUCUUAAAUUUUUAAAAAAAAUUGAAUUAUUAAAUUUAAAUAUUACAAAACUUAUAAAUUAUUGGAUUUCAUAACAUUUAAACAAAUAUGACAUAAAAACAUAUGAAAAAUAGAAAUACAAAUUUAUAUCAUGAAUUUAACAUUCCGGUGAGCUUCAUAUGUUCAAUGAAGUUAACAUUUAGAGACAACUUGGAGAAGACAUACAACAAAUCUGCAAGUUCAGUAACAAACAAGAGUCACAACUUUGUAACAAAAGAUCAAGAAUGUCAUUAGAGUUUUAACUAACCAUCUUGUGUCACGAGAGGAUAAUCUGAUGCACUAAGGUUGAUGAACCAAUCCCAAUCCAAGCUCUCCUUAAGCAAAACCGCCACAACUUGAAGCGUACAAGCGAUCAUUGUAGGGCCUUUAUAGGCAACGAGAUUAGACUGUGACAUAACACGGACGUUUGCAACUUCACGGAAAGUAGGAUCACUCUUCACAGACAUUGCAAGCUCCAGCCUCUCCUUAGGUGGAGCUUCGAGGUCUAAAUGGAGAACAUAUUGGUUUCUUGGAUGGUACACAGCUUGCAAAGUCCUCAUCAUCAUGUGGCUAUCUCCUUUAGCACCUGAGAUCAGAUAAGCUAACCUAGGAACCUCUGAAGAAUUCGAAGAACUCCCGUUUGAGUUUAAAGUCUCUUCAAAUUUCUCUUUUUCCUUUAGCAUCACCAGUGGAUUUUCUAUCAGCUUCUCUUCUCUGAGCAAUUUCAGAGUGUGCAACCAAGAAAUCUCCAAUUAUAAUUGCAGAAACACACAGAUCAGAGCAACCACAAGACUAUGUACUUCAAUACUCAUCUACCACUCAAAAUGAAUCGAUUGACCCAAAGAAAAAAAUGUUAACUUUUACUGAAAAACAUGAAUGUUAGAGCAUAACAUGUUAUCAUAAUGAAUCCAUUCCCAUAUAUAUCACAAAUAUGAUCAGAACACGACAGGAUUUAAUUGUACAAAGAAGUUCAACCAAGAGAAACAAGGUGAUAAUGUAUUUCAAAGAGAAACUAAGAAAAGUUUGUCUAUAUAAACCACGUGAUCAACAAACCAAUUCAUGAGGAAAAGAGUAUAGUUUUGAAGAGCUUAUGUAAGGUAAUCAAACCAACACACAAAUUAGGGAGAAAAGAAGUAUUCUUUUGAACACCACCGGUUCUUUUUUAUCUAUCCAUACCUUUUGCAGAUUCAAUACAAAUUAGUUAACUUUCUCAUAAAAUAAAGAUGACAAAUUUUGAUUUUUGAUUACAGAGAAAGAGAGAGAAUGAAGUAGACGAACCUUGGUGCCUUGAUCGAAAGAGUUAACCCUGCAGAGGCAAAGUGCAAAAAUGUCUCUUUUCUUCGAUUGAUUCCCAAAUUCGAAGAAACCUAAAUUCCCAAAUCAGAACAUCAAAAUCCCUAAAUUGAGAUAAUACCUACGAAAUCAAACAUGAUGAAGAAGAAAGAAUUAAGGUUUGGGAUCUGUAUAGAAGAAUUGAUUUACCCGAAAAACAGAAAGAGAGAAAGACAUACAAGAAAAGCCAAUAAAAAAUGGACACGUUAGGGGUUUUUAUUGAUUCUAAAACCCUCUUAUAAGAACCGGUUGCUAUGUUUUUUUUUUUCUUUUUGAUUUAUUUUUUGUUUUUUUUUUAAAGAAUCAUUCCUUAUUAACAACUUCUAAUGGAGGUGUUCUAAGAUAAUCAGUCACAUGUACUGUGUUCAAAAAAAAAAAAAUCAGUGACAUGUAGGAGUACUAUAAUUAUUCUAAUAAUUUCAAACAUAUUUUUAUAAUCACUUUAAAAAUCAUUUUAGUUAUGACAUAUCAUUAUAGUUCACAUGUUACAAUGUUUCUCAGUUAAUGUAAAAGAGAUUUUAUCUCAGACUUAAAAGCUCAGGAUCAUGUAUAUAAUCCCUAGAAAUGGUCAAGGCAUAAUUUAUUAAAUUUCCAAAGAUGCGUUACCCAAAAAAAAGGAAGAUUUUGUUUGGCAACGCGCGUUACGCCUAAAUCAGAAGAAAAUCAUAGUCAAAGUUGUGAAUGCAUGCAUGAUGACCUCGUAAACAAGGUUCUAUAAAUUGGAACAUUUUCUAUCUUUCACAUAUUUCUCAGCCGCAAAGCUAGAAAAAACAAACACAAACACAUCACAUCACAUCAAUCAAACACGACGAUGAAUAGGUUCUCGUGCUUUUUGCUUACCAUUGCAUUGAUCGUUGGGUCUAGUAACGCAAUCUGGGAAAAAAACAGUCUCCACUUCAAAAGUUCUCUUCGUCCGGGCAAUACACUGAGGAUUCGUUGUCUAUCGAACGACGACGACUUGGGUGUUCAUUUGUUGAGCCCUGGACAGACCUACGAUUUUAGUUUUCAUGAUAGUAUUUUGAAGACCUAUUUCGAUUGUACCUUAGACCAGGGUCCUAAUUUCUCGUUUCAUGCAAGUUUUACAGCUUAUAAAAGUGGUGGUGGCAUUAUUCGUUAUGGUAAGACCAACUUUUGGGAUGCUAGAGAAGAUGGCAUGUACUUCACACACGGUCAGGAAGCUCCCAAGUUAGAGUAUAAGUGGAUACAUGUUUAAGUGGAAUUUCAAAAUCAUUUUUUUUUUGUAACGUGUAAACCUUUUGGAAUAGUAAAUAUAUGAUUUAUUUCAGUGUUCUAAAAUCUGCGCAUAGGUACGCAUCUACUAUAUUGUUUUCACGUUUUGUAGUGUUUUAAGUCGAUAAUACUCCAUCCCUUUAAAAAAAAAAAUAUUUUAAAAAAUAUAUAUUUAAAAAAAGAAUAUUUCAAAAAUAUAUGUUUUGUAUUUUCAAUGAAUAAAUUAAUUGUAAAUUGUAAACUUCAAAAAAUAUAAUAGUAUUUAUAAAAAAUUUGUUGGUUAAAAAUUAUGGAGAAUAGUUGAUAACAGAAAAUAUUGUAUUAGUAACUAAAAUCUCAUAUAUUUUUUUAAUAAGCGUGAAAAACCUAAAACAUACAUCUUUCUGAAACGGAAGGAUUAGCGUUUAUAUUAUACCGUCUAUGACUGAUUUUAAACAUUACUAUUCAAAAAAAUUCUAAUAUUUAUAUGAUUAUAUAUUUUUAAAUGUUAUUAUUUAUGUUAACUGCUAUUUGUUUUAUGUAUUUAUAUGAUUAUAGUUAUUAGUUUAACUGUUUGUAAAAUAUUUAAAAUUUAUGAAUUUAUCAUCUUCAUAUUUCUAAACAUGUUUUUAUUUUCUUAUAAUUUGAAACUACUUAUAUAUGUUAAUUUAAUUUUAUACAACUUUUAUAUUUGAAAUAUUUUGUGUUCAGUUUUCUAAAACUAACAACUAUAUUAAUCUUAUAUAUAUAUCCGUUUAGGUGUCAUUUAGAAAGCUGAUUUAUUUAUUAUACAUGUAUUAUACCAUGCCUCUUAAUAAGUCUACCCAAGGAUAUGUUAUCCAUGACCCAUCAUAGAAGUUUCAUACUCUGUUGCAUAACAAUUGUGUCUACAGAGUGACAAGAGGCUAUAUACUAAAAUGUUACAUACAACAAAUAAUCCAAUGUUUUCCACUACAUGAAAAAAGAUAUUACAAGUUAGUUGCAAAAGCAUUACUACAUAGAAACAAAGAAUCGAUCAAAGCUAAAUAAAAAUCACAGGCUAGAGAGAUUUGAUCAAGACCCAACAUCAGUUCCAACACUGUUGAGGCGGAAGUCAUGUGACCGAGCCAGCUCUACCGCAUCCUGAACCCUAAGCCUGGUUCCCUGUUGACCAACCACAGUGGCUGCAAUCGUAGCAGCCAACUCUCCCAUUCCUUUCAAGUCAGUGACACCUCUCAAGAUACCGUAUAAGAUCCCUGAAGCGUAUGCGUCUCCAGCACCACACGUGUCAACCGGCACGCACGGUGAUGGAGGAAUGUAUAUGGCUUCUCCUUUGGCUCCAAUGUAUGACCCGUUGAUUCCAUCGGUCACUGAAACAAAUGGGACAAAGUGGCUCAAGUACCUUGUAGCUGAAAUAGGGCUUUCAUCUGCGGAGAAGUGACAAAACGCUCUUGCUUCAUCGCUGUUGGCAAAUAUAAUGUCUGCAUAGUUGCCCACAAUGUCCCUGAAUCAACAUAAAACAAUCAAAAGAUUAAGAUAACUUCUAACCAAGCUGUAGAAGCAGGAGGAGCAAGAAAAGCUCACCAGAAAUCAUCAUAGUGCCUCUCAAUGCAAGACACAUCUGAUGCAGUCACAGCAACAAGGGCUCCGUUUCUGUGUGCUUCUUCACAGGCUUUGGUUAUGGUCCUUAUAGUAUCAGGAAGCUCAAACAAGUAGCCUUCCACAACAAAGACAUUUGUCUUGGAUAUCAAACUAGCCAAACAAGAAUCAUAAUUAACCACAGAAGAUGUUCCCUGAAAAGUUGUACAUUAAAAAUUAGGUUUGUUAAUUAGAAAGAAAAAAAUAUGUUAAAAAAAUCUUUCAUUUAGUAAUAUUGGGAUACUCUGAACAUAUAAUACCAUACCUGAUAUGCAAGCAUGGUACGCUGUGCAUCAGGAGUUGUGAGAACAAUCACUGUCCCUGUUGUUCCAUCCAUGAUUGGAGCAGAAAGAAAAUUUAUAUUUGCUCGCCGUAAUUUAGUCCUACAGAUGAACUGCCUUUGUUAGUAAAAUCAAACCAACCAUGUAAGAACAUGAAUCAUAAAAAAACUAAUAAACCUUUCAAGCACAAAGACAAACUAUAUAGUCUAGUAACUUUACUAAACUCAAUGCUAAUUAUAGAUCAACCACUUAUCCCUCAACAUAAUUUAACCUUAACCUCCAAUAACUAAGAGAAGAGCCAAAAAGAAAAAAGUAUAUAAAGAGAGAGUUGUGUACCUGUAAAAGCUACCGAGAGGGUCACCAGCAAUACUACCAGCCAUAGCGACAUUCAAAGGGCGGUCAGUGAUUGAAGGACAACCUAAUCUCGCCAAAGCAACAAGAGUGUUGGACAA
Molecule: long non-coding RNA, 16074 nt
Filed under: Brassica napus (rape)
Lineage: Eukaryota; Viridiplantae; Streptophyta; Magnoliopsida; Brassicales; Brassicaceae
Description: long non-coding RNA (BNAP_LNC020866)
Source: RNAcentral